This is a non-coding RNA of Pseudomonas putida, 91 nucleotides long. The record is from Rfam. NCBI's taxonomy places the organism in Bacteria, Pseudomonadati, Pseudomonadota, Gammaproteobacteria, Pseudomonadales, Pseudomonadaceae.
UGCUAUGGCGGCUGUGCGCGGGAGGCAUUCGUGCCUGCUGGGUUUUGCCUUUUUGUCCCAGUCGACCAACCUGCGUACAGUCGUCACCAAC